AUGAUCAACGGCUGUCCACGGUGUGGCAACAGAAAGCUUUCACUAAGUUGCUGGGUCUGCGAUACAAAAUCAGUUAUCGCCAAGGCUGCCAACAGCGCCGCUGACGUGCUCUCCGGCCACUUACACACUUUAAACCAAGCCAUGGCCAUGUCAGUGUGCCAACCUACUUGGGUGGAGGACAUCCAUGCCAGCUAUGCAGAGAAUGACCAAUCUAAGAAACCGCUCACUGAAUUUUCCAAGCGACCCGAUGCAAAACAGAGGUUUUCUGUCUCAGAGGGCUUGCUGUACUUCCGCCACAGAUUAUGGCUCGGUGGGUCGCCAACACUACAGCAGUGUAUUCUGCGCGCCUUCCAUGACAGCACCAUGGGUGGGCACUCCGGAUUUCCGGUCACCUAUCAUCGCAUCCGCCGCCUUUUUGCCUGGCCCAAAAUGAAGGACACUAUUCGCCAGUAUGUGCGCACUUGUGCCGUUUGUCAGCAAGCCAAGCCGGAGCGAGUCAAAUACCCUGGUCUAUUAGAACCAAUUCCAUUGUCGGAAGGAGCUUGGGAGAUUGUUACUAUGGACUUCAUUGAUGGCCUCCCGCAAUCCAACAGGGCCAACUGUAUCCUCGUCGUUGUGGACAAGUUCACACGGUAUGCUCAUUUUAUGCCACCGAAUCAUCCUUUCACAGCAGCCAAGGUCGCUCGAGCUUAUUCGGACAAUGUUUACAAGCUGCAUGGUCUCCCUAAGGCAAUUAUCUCAGAUCGAGACCCAGUGUUUACCAGCAGAUUCUGGUAG
Molecule: ribosomal RNA, 777 nt
Filed under: Triticum aestivum (bread wheat)
Lineage: Eukaryota; Viridiplantae; Streptophyta; Magnoliopsida; Poales; Poaceae
Description: partial small subunit ribosomal RNA
Source: RNAcentral